Aethalodelphis obliquidens (Pacific white-sided dolphin) is the source of this 1618-nucleotide long non-coding RNA. RefSeq lists it as uncharacterized. NCBI's taxonomy places the organism in Eukaryota, Metazoa, Chordata, Mammalia, Artiodactyla, Delphinidae. The transcript is spliced from 3 exons. The record is from RefSeq and is a predicted model, not a curated record.
CCGCGCCGUGUCUGGGGGUCGGUCUGGUUCGGCUGGCGGUUGCGCGGUGGCGGCGUCUCCGCGCAACCCUGCGGGUCCCAGCCGUGUGUUUUAUUAGAAUUAAGUGUCGUCCUUACGAAACCCUGAAGAUAGAGAACAGGAAGCAAAGGUCCUGAGCGAGUGUGCGGCUCAGCUCAGGACCGCACAGCUCAGGCCAGAUCCGUAGAAAGAAGACAAUCCACUCAACGUUCCUUCGAUAAACAUAUCUGUUGAACACUGUAAAGCUGUGAGCCAGACGAAGAGCUCGCCCAGCUGCAGAAAACAUGGAGUUCGACCAUAAAGCAAUGGGAGAUGCUACAGAUUCAUGCAAAAUUUCCUUUCCUGCUUUCGAGGGCAACCACUCAAGGAGGCAGCAGGUGUCACAGCAGCAAAGUCCAGAACUGCCACACCUGUGACAGGUAUGGGAUGGCGAGAAGGAGGAGUCCAGCCUGAUCCACAGAAAAGACCCGAGGUUGAUGUCUGGUGAAUAAGGGGGACCAGGCCAGGCGUCCUCCUGUGAUGCUGCUGUGGGUGUGGCUUUUUCACCGUGGGAGGGCAAGUAAUUUUAAAACCAUGUGAACUCACCUCCCAGCUGCCUUCUUUUGAAAACAGGCUCUCGCUGGGUUUAUCAAUCGCCCACCCAAACCUGGCUCUCACAGUUAGCACAUAACUCCUGAUUUCAGGUGUAAAUUUUCAUAGUUUCCAGACAGCUGUUCAUACACUGAUGGCAAGUUCUCCACACACUUGGAGUAAUGAUGCCUUCCUGUCAGUUGGCUCAGUGUGAGAGAUGCAAACCAGCAAAGAUUAGGGGGAAACCAGUGUCUGGAUGCUCGCUCCACACCUCUACUAUCACACAGCCCUUCCCUCUGCAAAACUGAUACCAAGAGAAGCCAAUUUGCUAAGAAUCACAGGUAAAAUUAAAACCUAAAAUUUAACCAUAUGCCCCCUAAAAUACCUAUUCUAUUUUUUGUUAAAGCUAUGAAAAAUAAUUAUUCCUCACUUCUACAUUCGAGCUGCAUCCUCAAACUGAGGGAGAAUCCUGCAGGAAGGUGCUAGAGUGUAAGCAGCUUUGGGCAAGAAAGAGCUCUCUGCAGGAGGCCCCUUUGUCUUGUCACCAGCCUUAAACCAGGCACCCCCAGGCUCUACUCAUCUCCGGCCCAAGCACACCUUUCAAAUCUUGGUAACCUGUCGGUUCUUCCCGUAGAUCAAAGACGUAGAAAUGAAGAGUAAGUAAUUAACCGAUGACCAGAUCUCUUCCCUAGCUUCCCCUUCAGUAAUCACGUGAACAGAACAAACUGUGUGAACAGGAUAGCAUCACGAGGAUUGACAAGCCUGCACACGGUGGGGAGGGUGAUGGGUCUGACACCCCCCCCCCCACGUCUACGAUUAACUGAGAUUACUUCCUUUUUUCCCUUUAAAACUUUCAUGGCCAAGCAGAAUCUUCGGAGGUGGUUUUGGGGGACACUGAGUCCACCAUCUCCCCAGAUGGCCAGCGUUCUGAUUAAAGACAACUUUCCGUUCUACCAACACCUGCCCCUCUUGAGUAUUGACUUUUGAGUGGUGAGCAGCUGGACCUUAUUCAGUAACGAGAGAGCUUCUC